RNAcentral lists this ribosomal RNA (912 nucleotides) under uncultured bacterium. Its description in RNAcentral is "bacterial SSU rRNA". It matches the Rfam family "Bacterial small subunit ribosomal RNA", at positions 8 to 916 of the family's 1533-position model. The record is from RNAcentral.
AGAGUUUGAUCCUGGCUCAGGAUGAACGCUAGCGAUAGGCUUAACACAUGCAAGUCGAGGGGCAUCACGAGGUAGCAAUACUUUGGUGGCGACCGGCGUACGGGUGCGUAACACGUAUGCAACCUUCCUGUAAGUGUGGGAUAGCCUCCUGAAAGGGAGAUUAAUACCUCAUGAUAUGUAUUUGCUGCAUGGCAUUUACAUUAAACAUUUAUGGCUUACAGAUGGGCAUGCGUUCCAUUAGGCAGUUGGUGUGGUAACGGCUCACCAAACCUACGAUGGAUAGGGGUUCUGAGAGGAAGGUCCCCCACACUGGAACUGAGACACGGUCCAGACUCCUACGGGAGGCAGCAGUGAGGAAUAUUGGUCAAUGGGCGCGAGCCUGAACCAGCCACGUCGCGUGAAGGAUGACGGCCUUAUGGGUUGUAAACUUCUUUUACAGGGGAAUAAAGUGAGUCACGUGUGAUUUUUUGCAUGUACCCUGUGAAUAAGCAUCGGCUAACUCCGUGCCAGCAGCCGCGGUAAUACGGAGGAUGCGAGCGUUAUCCGGAUUUAUUGGGUUUAAAGGGUGCGUAGGCGGGAUAUUAAGUCAGCGGUGAAAGUUUUCGGCUCAACCUUAAAAUUGCCGUUGAAACUGUUAUUCUUGAGUGCAGUAGAGGUAGGCGGAAUUCGUUGUGUAGCGGUGAAAUGCGUAGAUAUAACGAGGAACUCCGAUUGCGUAGGCAGCUUACUAUAUUGCUACUGACGCUGAGGCACGAAAGUGUGGGUAUCAAACAGGAUUAGAUACCCUGGUAGUCUACACAGUAAACGAUGAAUACUAGCUGUUUGCGAUAUAUUGUAAGCGGCCGAGCGAAAGCAUUAAGUAUUCCACCUGGGGAGUACGUCGGCAACGAUGAAACUCAAAUGAAUUGACGG